GACGAACGCUGGCGGCGUGCUUAACACAUGCAAGUCGAACGGAAAGGCCCUGCUUGUAGGGUACUCGAGUGGCGAACGGGUGAGUAACACGUGGGUGAUCUGCCCUGCACUUCGGGAUAAGCCUGGGAAACUGGGUCUAAUACCGGAUAGGAGCCAUUUUUAGUGUGAUGGUUGGAAAGUUUUUUCGGUGUAGGAUGAGCUCGCGGCCUAUCAGCUUGUUGGUGGGGUAAUGGCCUACCAAGGCGGCGACGGGUAGCCGGCCUGAGAGGGUGGACGGCCACAUUGGGACUGAGAUACGGCCCAGACUCCUACGGGAGGCAGCAGUGGGGAAUAUUGCACAAUGGGCGCAAGCCUGAUGCAGCGACGCCGCGGGGGGGAUGACGGCCUUCGGGUUGUAAACUCCUUUCGCUAGGGACGAAGCUUUUUGUGACGGUACCUAGAUAAGAAGCACCGGCUAACUACGUG
This 465-nucleotide ribosomal RNA is filed under the name uncultured bacterium. RNAcentral describes it as "partial 16S ribosomal RNA". It matches the Rfam family "Bacterial small subunit ribosomal RNA", at positions 28 to 507 of the family's 1533-position model. The record is from RNAcentral.